Molecule: ribosomal RNA, 466 nt
Filed under: uncultured bacterium
Lineage: Bacteria
Description: partial 16S ribosomal RNA
Rfam family: Bacterial small subunit ribosomal RNA
Source: RNAcentral
GACGAACGCUGGCGGCGCGCCUAACACAUGCAAGUCGAACGAGCGAGAGAGAGCUUGCUUUCUCGAGCGAGUGGCGAACGGGUGAGUAACGCGCGAGGAACCUGCCUCAAAGAGGGGGACAACAGUUGGAAACGACUGCUAAUACCGCAUAAGCCCACGACCCGGCAUCGGGUAGAGGGAAAAGGAGCAAUCCGCUUUGAGAUGGCCUCGCGUCCGAUUAGCUAGUUGGUGAGGUAACGGCCCACCAAGGCGACGAUCGGUAGCCGGACUGAGAGGUUGAACGGCCACAUUGGGACUGAGACACGGCCCAGACUCCUACGGGAGGCAGCAGUGGGGAAUAUUGCACAAUGGGGGAAACCCUGAUGCAGCGACGCCGCGUGGAGGAAGAAGGUCUUCGGAUUGUAAACUCCUGUUGUUGAGGAAGAUAAUGACGGUACUCAACAAGGAAGUGACGGCUAACUACGUG